UAGUCCACACCGUAAACGAUGAUUACUAGGUGUUGGAGGAUUGACCCCUUCAGUGCCGCAGUUAACACAAUAAGUAAUCCACCUGGGGAGUACGACCGCAAGGUUGAAACUCAAAGGAAUUGACGGGGGCCCGCACAAGCAGUGGAGUAUGUGGUUUAAUUCGACGCAACGCGAAGAACCUUACCAAGUCUUGACAUCCCUUGACGAUGCUGGAAACAGUAUUUCUCUUCGGAGCAAGGAGAC
RNAcentral lists this ribosomal RNA (243 nucleotides) under uncultured bacterium. Its description in RNAcentral is "partial 16S ribosomal RNA". It matches the Rfam family "Bacterial small subunit ribosomal RNA", at positions 791 to 1035 of the family's 1533-position model. The record is from RNAcentral.